Molecule: long non-coding RNA, 1004 nt
Organism: Dermochelys coriacea (leatherback sea turtle)
Lineage: Eukaryota; Metazoa; Chordata; Testudines; Dermochelyidae
Exons: 2
Source: RefSeq, a predicted model, not a curated record
ACUUACUUUCAGGAGCCCAGACUAUUGGUCCUCUGGACUGAACACUGGACCAGCAAAGUUAUGAUACCAGCAAUUGCAAGGGUUUAUCUCAUCUGGAAAAGUGCUCACCCAUUUCUGCCCCUUACAAGCCAAACCAAGCAGUUAAAGUGUCACUUAACAUUCUAGAGAAUGUGAAAUAUAUUGUACAUUGUCAACUCCCCAAAACCAUAAAACUAACUUUAUGGACCUCACGUGACUUUUGAGAGCCAGUGAGGGGUAUCUGUCUGAGGUCUGGGCGAUUUUUACGAUCUAACUUCUAGAUAAAACCCUAUCCAUUUGACAUCUAAAUGUCAUACCUACUUUUGGUAUAGUUUGCUAUUGGUAAAAAUAUAUAUAGGAGAGCUAUAUAUCAAGGGAAGGCGAGCAAAUGGUUUUGGAUCUGACAGUCCACCUCACAUUCUUCUCAAAAUCACUUAAGAAGUACCUAAACAGUGGGAGAUUAAGUUUGAGUUUUCCUUUGUGUAUGGAGUGGACCCAAACCUACGCAGAUCUGUUUUAUUGGCAUGGGAACAUGAGAUUAAAAGAGAAACUUGACUGUCUAUUGGGGAAAAAAAAAACCCUCCAUUGAACACAAUGAAGUUAAUUGCUUUGCAGGAGGCAAACGCUCAGACAUUUGAUUAGAAAGUUACGCAAAAUUUGUAUAAGAGUAAAAUCAGGAACAUCUGGGAUGAUUUGCACAGCAUGUGGAAUCUGGGCUAUGAAGUAUGAAUUCCUGAUAAUUAAAUGAGUGAGUAAAAUCGCUGAAAACGUUUUCUUUACUUCUUUUUAAUGAUGUUAGUUGUGAAAAUGGUCUUCCUUAAGUAUGUUUAAAGACUGUUUCCCCCACACAUGGUGAUGUAGCAUUUCUAUGAAACACAGCUCAAUUUAGCAUGCUUGUGGCUAAGGCUAACUUGUCCUGCCUUUUGUCUGUCGUAAUUUUUAUUUUUAUUGUGAAAGAAAAAAAAAUAAAAUUCAUUAAUUGAAAC